ACUCCUACGGGAGGCAGCAGUGGGGAAUAUUGCACAAUGGGCGCAAGCCUGAUGCAGCCAUGCCGCGUGUGUGAAGAAGGCCUUCGGGUUGUAAGCACUUUUCAGUCGUGAGGAAGGUAGUGUAGUUAAUAGCUGCAUUAUUUUGACGUUUUAGCGACAGAAGAAGCACCGGCUAACUCCGUGCCAGCAGCCGCGGUAAUACGGAGGGUGCGAGCGUUAAUCGGAAUUACUGGGCGUAAAGCGCAUGCAGGUGGUUUGUUAAGUCAGAUGUGAAAGCCCGGGGCUCAACCUCGGAAUUGCAUUUGAAACUGGCAGACUAGAGUACUGUAGAGGGGGUAA
This 339-nucleotide ribosomal RNA is filed under the name uncultured bacterium. RNAcentral's name for it is "bacterial SSU rRNA". It matches the Rfam family "Bacterial small subunit ribosomal RNA", at positions 335 to 663 of the family's 1533-position model. The record is from RNAcentral.